ACAUCUUUGUCAAAUGAAAAGCUCUUCGUGGUGUUCCAAGGUGUUUCAAAUGUAGCUGGUGAAACAAGUUCAGACUCUGGAGUUAGCUAUUUAGCCUCCUACAACGCCUUCCUUGCUGCCACCAAGUUCAUUAAUUCAAUUCCUACGCCACGACUUGCUUGUGAGUGAUGAGAUGAUGAAUGUCCUCGAUCGUGAGUCUUGUGAGUCUUUUGAGUUGUAUGAUAAAAAAGGAUGCCCUACUGUACUAGAAUAAAUUAUAUGUUAUAAAUGGCCUCCUAAUUUAAAUAAACUGGGGUGUAUAUCAUCCACAUGUACGUUCCUUUUUUGAUGAAAUAUAUGGGCGUACUUAUGCUUGCAGUUUUUGUAAUGCUAGAUCUAAUUAUAUGUUUCAAAUGGAUGUGCAAAAUAGUUAGUGUUUGUGCAGAAGCACGUACCCUGCUAAGAAACAGCAAAGGGAUAUAUAAAAGAAAUGACUCAGAAAAUAGAUUUUCAUAUAUAAAUUGAAAAAAUACAAUUUUCUCCAUUUAAUUUUCUUAAUAGUUGUUUCAUACCAUCACCCUCUCUCUAUAAAUUGAAAAAAUACAAUUUUCUCCAUUUAAUUUUCUUAAUAGUUGUUUCAUACCAUCACCCUCUCUCUCUCUCUCUCUCUCUCUCUAUAUAUAUACCCUACAUCCUUGGAAAGUUAAAAUAUUUAAACUAUAUAUAUAUACCCUACAUCCUUGGAAAGUUGGAAUAAAAAAACAAUCAACCACAAAAUAUUCAUCCUCUUAAAUGAGGAAGGACCUCUUGGAUUAUGAGGGAUAACCUUGUUUGGAGAAAUAUUUAUAAUGAUUGUAUUUGCACAUCAUUUUUUAGGCCUAAUUUGAAUACCUUUCUAACCUCACCUAGUUAUAAUGAGAUGACCUCCUAUCUAACCUCACCUAGUUAUAGUGAGAUGACCUCCUAUUGGACCGGGUCUAUAAAAUCUAAAUAUAAAAUUUGAGCACAAUCCAAUAGUUUGAUCGAAGUUUAUGGAUUUGUUUUGUUGAGAUCAGUUAUUUGAUGCUAUCAUGCCUCUUCUUAGGCUUAACUCUAUCUCACCAAUCCAUUAAAAUCAAUUUACUAAGCUUUUUAUGUGAUUUAGUUAGGAUUAAUUUGCAACUAAUCGUUCAAAACCUUCAGAUUCUCUAAACCUACCUACAAUAGUAUGUUAAAGAGUUAAUAUAAAACCAUUGUAGAUGAUAACUCAACAACUUAAGUUUUUGUAUUGAAAUGGUUUUUUUAACAAAAAUGAUAAAAUGGACAAACUAAGUGUUUACAACCCAUAACAUAUAUGGAGAUUUCUUAAGCACUUAUUAUUAAAUUGAUAGUAUUCUUGUUAGUGACUCAUAUUAAAUCUUUUUUAUUGAAUGAUAUUCUUGUAAUUAAUAUAGGUGGGAUAUGUAGCCUAACACCUUUUUCACUUAGAAGUCAUUUUUUUUAUCAAGUGGCGUGGACUAUAGAAUCCUUGCUAGACCAUUGAGUGUUUUUGAGACUUUGAUACCAUAUUUAAUUUGACAGUAGAAUUUAAGUGUUAUUCAAUAGACUUAAGCUUAGUUCGUGGUGGUCUUUUCUUAAUCUUUUAUAUUAUUUUAUUUUCUUAUAAUCACAUGAUGUGGGAUAAUCUCUAGUCAUAUAUUAUCUAUGAAUUCAUCUUGUAUGAGAGAGGAAAGAACAAUGUUAUGUAUGUUGAAUAAUUUUUUAAAACCUUUUCUUAUAUAGUGACAUAUAUCUCAGUGUUCAAAAGUAAAAACUUGUAAUUUAUGCCAUGAGUUUUGCAAUAGAGAAGUAAUUUUAACAAAAAUAAUAGAAAACAAUAAUAAUAUUUUCUUGUCCAUGGUGAACUCUAGAAACUCCUUGCUCCGAAAGCCAUAAAUAGCUUUAAUCACAUAUUUAACUAAUCCUGGCUAGAUAUGCUUCCUGGUGGUGCGCUUUACUCAAACAGACUAAAUUGUGUCCAUUUGGGCCAUAGCCUAAAUGGGUGAAAUAAAAUAAAAAAAACAAUCCAUUUAAGUUAUGGUCUAAAUGAAUUGAAAUAAAAAAAAAACAAGAAGAAAAAACCAGUUCGUUUGGACAAUAACCUAAACAGAUCAAAACAAAAACAUUUGCAUAAAUCAUUUAAUACUCCACUUUCACCCAUGCAAAAAGACUUCUUUCUAUCUUUAUGUACACAUACAUUUAGAGAAGGAAAUAGAAAUGGAAAUAUUCAUUACAAUGCUAAUAUGGCAUGAGAGAAGAGAGAUGAAAGAUAAAUGGAAGGAUAAAAAAAAGGAAUGAAUGGAUCACAUAGGACACACUUUUAUUUUCAACACCGUCAACACCAUUAGAAAGAGCUUGAUGAGAUGAUUCCUGAAACACCUUGGAAGAAUAUAUUUGCUUUCUAGGUUUCCAACACCACUAGCAUCUAAAGGAGACAACACUACCUACUCUCCUAGUGAGUUCAUUGCACGAAUAAGAAGGAGAAAAAUAAAAAUAAAAAUUGACUAUUUGGGCUUCAAUUCAAAUAACCAAAUGUUUUCUAACCCAAAUAGCUAGCACUUACCAUCUCUCUUCUCUUCACUCUUAUUUUUUCUCUCACACAUUCUCUCUCCUCCUUCCUCUCGUAUAUCUUCUGCAUCUCUCUUUUUUUCACCACAUUGAUUGUCCAUUACGCAUAUAUCUAAAUAUUUUUUCAAUCUCUAAGGAGUCAAAAUGUAGAACUAAUGCACACAACAUUUUCUUAUGAUGGUUGACACCAUCUUUUCUAGCCAAUGAUCGACAUUGCAAAUACAAAUCACUUUCCAUGUAAAUUAGUCAACUAUUUCUUCAUUAUAUCCAACGUAUCACUCACAUUCACCCACUUCUUCACCAAUAAAGUGCAAGGUACUACAACCAAUGAUGGAAACUAAUGUUUUCACCAAUUAUGAAACUCUUCACAUCUUAUAAUGAGCGUGACCAAGGUGUAUAAAUACCUUGAAAUACCAGGUUAACCCAAUAGGUUGUAAGCUUCUUUGACUAAACAUUUCAAACUUGGAAUACCAAGUAAACCCAAUAGGUUAUAAGCUUCUUAGACUAAACACUUCAAACACAAUAUAUUUUUCUCUCCAUUGUUUCAUACAUUAUUUUCUUCUCAUAUCCCUAUUGACUUAAGUAUCAAAGAGUCUCCCAUUCUACAAGGAGCUUAUAUUUUUAGGAUAACCAAGUCCAUACACCAAGCUCAUAUUCAAAUCCAUAUGUCUUCGCCUAGGAUCAUAGCUUGUAGAAAACCUAUUUUUUAUGAAAGUUUCUUCACGAGUUCACUAGGGGUAUAAUUUGUGGGAAAUUGAACUAAAAACUAGAUUAACACCUUUCAUAAAAAUAUUUUCCAUGCUAAUGAAAUUUUAAGAUAAAAGAGAGUAACUAAUUUCACCACUAAGUGGGAAAAUCUCAACAAGCUCAGGAUAUUGAGAAUACAUAUAAAAUAUGAGAAGCAUCAUAGAGCUUGUCAUAUAAGAUAGUGAUGCAAUGUGUAAAGUUUUUCAAACAACACAAUGUGGAUCUACUCGUGUAUGGUAUCAUAGAGUUACCAAAAAUAAUACCAUUGAGAUCUUCUCUAUCACACAUAGAGAAGAUGAGAGCACUAUGACCUAUCUCCAAAGGUUCAAAGAGAAAAUGUUCAACGUGGAAAGACUCGUUAAACCUAUUUCCAGAGAAGCUUUGAUUAAUAGGCUUUAUAACUUUGAUUAAAUAGUGAAUGAAAAAUUCUAUUAGGAUGGAAAAAGUCAACGUAACUAGUAUCCUCAACAUCACUAGUCUCUAACUAGAUUAUCUAAAAUGAGCACCAAAUGACACAUUUAUGAUCGUUUGACAUUCUCUAAGCUCUUGACUACCUCUCUAACCACCACACAGACUGAGAUGUCAACUAUUAAUGGAGGGAAAUAAUUUAUGAAAUAUCCUUAUCCCAUUAAAAAUGGUGCAAACACGAGGAACACUAAUAAGUUUUACCUUUUUUUUUAUCAUGAUCAUGGGCAUGACACUAAAGAAUGUCAUGCCUUGAAAAAGAAAGAAAAAUUGAUCAUCAAAGGUUAUUUUCACCAGUUCAUGAAAAAGGAAACAAAACCUGAGAAUAAAAGGACAAAAGUCUACACAUGAUUUACCUUAGAUUAAAUAAUCCUCGAAUUAGCUCUAGGAAUUAUAUUUCCAUAUUUUCAAAUCUUUAAUAAAAACAAUGAUUUUCUUCAUAUCUCCAAUGUCUCUAAUAAAAACCUACAUUAAAAUAUCUAAAUAUAUCUCUAUGAAAAUCUUUACAGCGAGAUCUUUAGUCUCCAUACAUGUCUCUAUGAAAAAUCUCUAUGCCAAGUCUUUAUAUCUUUAAAUAUGUCUUAAUUAAAUCUCCUUAUAUGUCUCGAAUGUCUCCAAAAUAAUUAAGGAUCUUUAUUCAGGUCUCCACGAUUACUUAUCUCUAAAAGGAUCAAAGAUCCUUCUCAAAAGAAUAUUAUCAGAAAUUUACAUGAAGAAAGCUUUCAUGCAGACACUUCAUAAGACACAAAUAGGGAAACGUUCAAAUGUCUAGCAUGGUAACAUUCUCUUAUCCACAUCAGGUAAAAUUUAUAUCUUAAGUAUUUUUUUCCUCCACUUCUGCUAGUUAAGUCUUUUAAACAUGUCCAUUUGAAAGACUUAAUGAUGUAUAUGAUGGUGCACAUUAAAAAAUAUAUAUGUUUGGGCUAUGACACAAACAAGCUGACAUAAAAAAAAUUCCAUUUGGGCCAUGUCCCAAAUAGACUAAAAUAAAAACAAUUGCAUAAAACAUUUCACCUCCUACUUUCACCCCUGUAAAAACACAUUUCCCUACCUUUAUAUACACAUGCAUGAAAAGAAGGAAAUGGGGCUGAAAUAUUCAUUAUAAUAUUGAUAUGUCAUGAGAGAAGAGAGAGGAGAGAAAAAUAAAAAAGAGAAAAAAGAAUGAAAGAAUGAGCAACCAAGGACAUGUCGGAACUUCUUGGAAAUAACUUGAUGAUAUGAUUUUAAAAACACCUUAAAAGACCAUAUUUUGCUGUCUGAGUGGUUAUACACACAACCUAAAAGCGACAACACUAUCCAUUAUCUUAACGUUUAUAAUGUAUGAACCAAGGAGAAAAUAAUAAAUAUAAAAGUCAGAUGUUUGGGCAAACCCAUAUGGUUAGCAUUCAUCCUGUAACGCCCUGAAUUUCCACAAUAUUGAAGGAUACUUUGAGUAUUGAACAUCAAAGAAACAUAAGGUCAAAUAUUUUUUCAUUCCUUUAACAUCAAUAAAUCUUAUUGACUUUUUAUCCACCUAAUUAUAUUCUUAUCAUAUUAUUUAACUCAUCUCUAGUCUUUAUCUCAAUCAUACAAUUAUGAUUUAUGUCUCUUAAUUUCUAUCAUAAUUUCAGUAAAGUCUCCUCUAUUCGAGUCCCUAAAAUAAUUAUUCUCCUCAUAUAUAACACUUGUUUAUCAACCAAUGGAUAUAUAAAUCUAACAAUGUCUUUUAGUCCUUUUAUUGUAAUACAAUUUAAUCAUAAAAUUUGUCUAUUACAACCACUUUACUACAAUAUCCCAUGUGAGCACUAGCCAUGUGUAACCUAUCCAUCAACCUGUAGGAAUGCAUAUAGACCCAUGUAAAACAUAAUUUUUUUUAUUAACUCUUUUAUUUUAUGAAUUAAUAAAAAUUAUGACUUAAAUGUCUAAGCAUUGGCCAUAUUGUAAUACAAUUUAAUCAUAAAAUAUGUCUAUUACAACCAUUUUAGUAUAAUAGCUCGUUUGAGCAUUGACCAUGUGGUUAGCCCAUCUAUUCAACAUGUAGGAGUACAUAGAGACCCUUGUAAAACAUAAUAUUUAUAUAAACUCUUUUAUUUUAUGAAUCAAUGAAAUUCAUAUCUUAAACCUCACAAGUAAAAUGAGUUAAUUACCAAUAUCAUAGACUAUACAUCACAUGUGGUAACCUAUAUACCUAUCAGCAUAAUUAUGUUUUUUUUGUUUUUCAUUUUAAGCCUUAGCAAGCAUUUCAUUCUUUAUAACUCUUACUCAAGGUCUCAUAUAUUGUAUAUUCGUUAUCUUAUAUAGUAAGAUAAACACAUAACUUGUUUGGAGGCAUCAUCAUAUAUAGGAAGCCACAUAAAAGAAAUUUUCUUUAAACCCCCACCUCACCAAUUUAUCUUUUGCUUACUUAAUUUCACAGCACUAUUCUUUAUAGAGAGGGUUAUUUAGUAUUUUUUUUUGUAGAAAGAAGAAGAAAAAGAAUAAGAGGGGGAGGGAAUUCUCAUUUAUAACUUAUUUAUAUUUGCCGAUUGAAUAAAUUGCAUUGGAUUUUACAACAAGUUUGUAAAAUUUCAAAGGACUUUGGUCUAUAUUUAAAAAUAUUUUUUUUUUGGGAAGAAAAAUUAUUCAUUUUUAAUAUAAGGAUAAAAAACCCUAAAAGGAAUUCAUAUCCAAAAUAUUAUUAGGAGUAAUAAUUAUUAUUUAUUUUAAUAUAAGGAUAAAAAAUAUAAAAGGUGUUAAUAUCCAAAAUAUUAUUAUGGAUAAUAAUUUUAUUACUCACAUUAAUAUAAGGAUAAAAAAAAACUUGUAUGAAGUUAAUAUCCAAAAUAUUAUUGUGAAUAAUAUAACUCAUUCACUUCUAAUAUAAGGAUCAAAUCUAGAAAGAAUUUUAUCUGAAAUAUUAUUUGCAUUGACGCAACGAGUAAAAAGAUUAUGACAUGAACCAAAAGAAAUUAUGAGGUUUAAAAUCAUGUGAACAUGAAAGGAUUAAAUUAAAAAGCAAUAAGUGAUUGAAAUAAAUAAUUACUAAAAUAAAAGAAAAAAGGUUGAAUCACGUGCACCUUAACAUGCACAGUGCACCUCUAUCUACAUUAAUACUAAAAAUAUAAAAAAAGAGAGUAAAAACCAUUCAUGGUGAUGGUGAGGGAGGAGGCAAUGGUAUGAUGGUGAUAGUAGAGAAGAAGGAGGUUGUAAUUGAAUUGAAUGAUAUUAAAAGUAAAUUAUUAUUAGAAAAAUAUUUUACAUAAUAUCAUGAAUUGAAUAUAUUUUAAAAAAAUUAAAUUAAGUUUAAAAAUUAACUGUAAAAUAUUUUUUAUUAACCUAUAAAAUAUUUUAUAAAAACAAACAUAAAUAAAGAUUUUUUUUAUUUUUUUUUCUAAAAUUAAACACAGAAAAACUCGGAAAUUUCUUUACCGUAAAAUAUUCUACAUAAGGCCUUAAUAUAAUAAUAAUUUCUAAAAUUAAGUAACAUUUUUUUAAAAUUUUACUGACCGAAAAAAACCUAGGAUGAUGGAGGAGGUAUAAGGUGGAAUUUUCUUCCUUAUUAUAUGUGGGCUCUUGUUGAUGUGCCAAAGAAAAGAAUAUCUUCGUGAUAUUCCCUUCCAAAAAACCAAAUAUGGGACUCCAUAGUUUGGAAAUGCUGUCCAAUAUUUUUAAAAUUUUUAAUUUUUUUUUAUUUAAAAUCAAUAUGUUUUAGUAUUUUUAAAUUAUUUUAAGGUUCUGAUAUCAAAAAUAAUUUUUAAAAAUAAAAAAAUAUUAUUUUAAUAUAUUUUUAAAUAAAAAAUAUUUUAAAAAUCAAUCGUACCUCUACUUCCAAACACACAAAAAAAAAACUAUCAUUAUCCAUCCAGCUGUUCUCACCAAUCAUUUGCUGCGCCAUGUUUCCGCACUUUAUACAUUACUGUUGGUAUGAGUAAUAGAAAAUGGUAAACCACGAAUUUUCUUGGUUUUAUUGGAGUGUUCCACUCCUAUGCCAUCAAUUAAUUAGUAUUAGGCUUUAGUAUACCCUCACAAGUUGAUUAUAGGUAGGAGCACACAACCAACUUUGUUAGAAAAAAAGGAAAAAUAGACGGAGCUCAAUAGUUUGAUAAGAAAAUCCAUUAUCUAAUCAUCAAUGGCAAUAAACUGAAAAUGUAAUUCUCAUUUCAUAACUAAAACAAUUUCAAUAGGUUUCAUGCAUGAAUGAAAAAAAUCAGAUAAGUCGUUAGAUAAGUUGCUCCAAAACUGUAACACUAUAAGAUAAAAGAAAAAUACGAUAGAUAACCAAGUUUAGAAGCAUUAGCAAUAACCUUAUAUUCAACCUUUAUAGAAGAUUGAUAAACCAUUUUCUACUUACUAGACUUUUAAGAGAUAAGGUUAUAUGCAAAAUAGAUAACAUAAUCAUCUAUAAACUUUUCAUCAUCAAUAUUACUACGAAUAAUAGUAACUAAAUCCAUGUAAUUAAAUAUCAUAAGAGGCAAUAAAAGAUAUGCCAAAUUGAGAUGUACUACGAAUAUAAUAUAAGAUACGUUUAACAACAAGUCAAUGAUCCUCUAACGAGAGGUGCAUAAACUGACAAACCUUAUUAACAGUAUAUAUUGUAAAAGUAACAUGUUGAAGAAAUUCAACCACACGAUGAUAUAAAGUAUGAUAAAAAAAAAGGCAGAACUAUUAUUAGAGAUGUUGGAAAGACAAGAACCAAUAAUUAUCGGUGUGGAAACUAGUUGACAUUCGUACAUGAAAGCUUUGUGCACAAUGUCAAAGGCAUAUCAAAACUAAGAGAAGAAUAACCAAUGAGAAGUAUAUUGUAUCUCAAUACCAAGAACAUAACUCAAAUGACCCAAGUCUCAAAUAAAGAGUUUUGUGUUAUGGUAAACAAUCAACUGAGUCAUGAAAGAAAGUUCAUUUCAUGUGAAAAUGAUAUCGUCAACAUAAACUGAAAUAUAUAUGUAAAUAGUCUAUUAUCUAUAUAUAAAAAGUGAAGUUUACUAUUAAUGUCAGACUUUAAAAACUUGAUCCCUGAUAAGAUAUAAGUAACCAUGAUAAUAAUAAAACAAAUUAUUAUUUAAAACAAUUUAUCAUAUAGAAAGCAGGUAUUUUAUAAUAGUUGGAAAAUACAAAAUGAAAGACAAUUUUAUGAAACGUUGAGUUGUAUGAAUUGAAAAAUGUGUAAGAUAUUUAGUUUCUUGCCAUCACCUAUUUUGAAUUGUUCAAAGCCAAUAUAGGGUUCCAUGUAAAUGUGUCCAGUAAUGUAUGGCAUGAUAUGAUGUGUUGCUCUGGUAUUAAAAUGUCAUAAUUGGUUAUAAUUCAAAGGGAAGUGACUAGUUGAAGCAUGUUGGCCAAAGAUGGAGAAUCUAAAAUUAAAGAGGUAAAAAAGUUUCCUUUAGGAAGUGAACUAGCACCUAAAAAAUAAAAGGAACAUAAGAGGGUAGUAUGAUUAUAGUUACUAUAAAUUUAGCACUAGAUUUUGGGUGUUUUGUCGUGGUUAAUUCCACCCUGAUUCAUUUUCUCGUCUAAAAUUUCUUCUAUUUUAGUGAUCUCUCUAAUUUCAAUCACACAUCAUAUUGAAAACAUCAUUCCAACCAGAGAAGAAAUAAGAGUUAAAAUUGUUACAUUUGUCAAUAAAAGUUGAUUAUGUAUCAAUGUUAGUCAAAUGGACAUUCAUGUCAUCAACAAGUGUGGAUCUAAUAGAAAGCAUACAAAAUUCAUAAUUGUGUAAGAAUUUAUUAUUCAAGAGUAAACUAUGGAGUUCUGAGAAGGUAACAAGUUUGAAUCAAGCUAUGAAAGUGUUACUAAGUCUUUGAACUCUGGUCGUAGGCUUUUGAACAUAUACAAAUUAAAAUUUAAAAAUGGGUAGCAUAUCAAAUAUUGCCAAUUCAUCAUUUUAUGUUUUCUCAUUAUGUGUAUAAGUCAAACCGAUUCUCUAUGGAGUUGUCAUAGUUCAAAAAAGCUUAAAUAAAAUAAUAUAAUUUGGGUUAUUGAUAGUCAUGCCGAGGCUAAUUCUAGUACUGUUCAAAUAGAGUAAGAAAUCGACAAUAAAUGACAUUAGAUAGUACAUCAUUUUUUUAUAAAAAAGAUACAAUUAAAAUGCUAGUGGAUCCUAUUUAACUUGUGUAGGUAAUUUGAGUUUGUUAUGGUAAUGGAUGUGUUUUCUAUAAUAAGAGGGCUAGUAGACAUGAUUUUAAUCCAACAAUGAAGCUAUACAAGAAUUUUUUAAUAAAAAAAACUCUUGGUUUUAACCUUUCAAAGCAAGUACUUUUUAUUUGUUAGUUUUAGAAAUAUUAAUUAAUUACUAUAGAUUAAUUAAUACAUCAAAAUGACAUACCUCCCACAUCUUACAUGGAUCACAGGCCCAUUUUGUCAUCUUGCACGGUGUAGCGAGUCAUUUCAAAGAGGCAGUACAGGGAUUGGUAAUGUCCUAUCCCAUCAUUUUUUUACUUUUUCAUUUUACGGUUCUAAAAGGUUUGUCUGGCAUCGAUUAAAUGACUUCCGACAAAUUAUAUCAUGCAUUUCCCGACAAACAAAUUCAUGCGUGAUUUUUUUAUUACUUAUCCGGAGAGAUUUCAACAUCACAAAAUGAAAGCUUUUGAACUUGAAGCACAUCUUCAGUGCAAGGCUCGUAUCUCAAAUAAUUAAAUUUGGAUCUUAGGUCCUUGUCAAAUUAUAUAUAUAUGAUCUGCCGACAAAAAAAUAACGUAAAAAAUAGUUUUACUUUGGAAAAAUAUGAUUAUUAAAACAAUAAUUUUUCUUAAUUAUAUAAACUGAAUAACUUAAUUACAAUUCAGUUUAGUUCCAAUAAUCACACUCAUAAAAAGUUAAGAAAUAAUUAAAAUCUUUAUACAAUUUUAUAUUCAAGUUUCAAGUGUCAUUGUCAUAAUUAUUCAUAUAUAUAAAUGACCCAUCAAAACAUAACAUAAAUCAAAGAGGAAGAAACCGCAUGAAUUGUUACUUAUCAAGACAGUAUGAGUACUCUGAGGAGGUUUAUUCUAACAUGAGAGAACUUUACUUUUUUAUAUUCAAUGCAACUUUUCCAACGGAUAGCAUAAUUGUUACUUAAUUUUUUUUUUAAAAGAUAAUCAAUGAACCUGCCUGUAGUUAAUAGAGAUAUAUAUUUCAUGCUCUAUCCAAAUUUGUCAAUUUAUCAAGACAGUAUAAAAAAAGGAUCACAUUUAUUUUAUAUGCUCUUGCGAAGAAUAUGUGUGUCUAAUUAUUGUUAAAUAAUAUUUAUGUAGUCUUAUUUAUUAAGGGUAGAAUAGUACUUUCAGUUUAACCUAUAUAUACUUUAUUUGUAUUUAGGUUAAGUCUAAGCACUCAUAAUAUACAGAUUAUUCAGAAUUCUAGCCUCCUUUUUGUGUUUGAUCUUAAUUAUUUUAACAUGGUAUCAAAGCUGGUUUUAUGGGACGAGGCUUAAUCCCGAACACAACUUCGCAGAGCGCCGAAAAUUUUUUGGAGUGAGAUUUUGUCUUCCGCUUCUGCAAAAUUUGGUAUUUCGUCAGUUUCUGCAAUUAUUUUGGUAUUUCGACUUCCCUUCAGCUUUUGCAAUUUGGUAUCUGCGUUCAGUUUCUGCAAAUUUUUUUUGUGUUUUGGAGUAAUCAUAUAAUUUUGAGAAGAUAUUUGUUUAGUUUCUGCAAUCUUUGUUCAAUUUCUGCAAUUUGGUAUUUUGUUUUCCGCUGCUUUUGCAUUUUGGUUCUCUGUGAUUGUUGAUUAUGGCUACUGAAAGAGAUGAUUCGCUUCAAUUUGUGCGUGUGAGGUUGGAUGGGAAGAACUAUUCAUAUUGGAGCUAUGUAAUGCGAAAUUUUCUUAAGGGUAAGAAGAUGUGGGGGUAUGUUAGUGGAACUUAUAUGAUACCUAACAAUAUUAAGGAGGGGGAUGUUGUUUUGAUAGAUACAUGGGAAGCAAAUAAUGCAAAGAUCAUUACUUGGAUCAACAAUUCUGUUGAGAAUUCGAUAGGUACGCAGUUGGCGAAGUAUGAGACAACAAAAGAGGUUUGGGAUCAUCUGCAAAGGUUAUUCACGCAAUCAAAUUUUGCAAAACAGUAUCAAUUAGAGAAUGACAUACGAGCUCUACAUCAAAAGAAUAUGAGUAUUCAAGAGUUUUAUUCUGCUAUGACAGAUCUUUGGGAUCAAUUGGCUCUUACAGAAUCGGCAGAAUUAAAGGCAUGUGGUGCCUAUAUUGAGCGUAGAGAGCAUCAACGAUUGGUACAGUUUUUAACAGCACUUCGCAGUGACUUCGAAGGACUUAGAGGUUCAAUUCUGCAUCGUUCUCCACUGCCUUCUGUUGACUCUGUUGUCAGUGAGUUAUUGACUGAAGAAAUACGUCUUCAGUCUUAUUCUGAAAAGGGAAUUCUUUCUGCUUCAAAUCCUUCUGUACUAGCAGUACCUUCUAAGCCAUUCUCUAAUCAUCAGAACAAGCCUUACACAAGGGUUGGCUUCAAAGAGUGCAGUUUCUGUAAGCAGAAAGGUCAUUGGAAGGCUCAGUAUCCUAAGUUGAAACACCAAAAUCAAGCUUGGAAGUCUGGCAGUCAGUUACAAUCUAAUGUUCAUAGACCACCUCAGGGUUAUAAACCACCACACCAUAAUACUGCAGCAGUAGCUUCCCCAGGCUCUAUUACUGAUCCCAAUACUUUGGCUGAGCAAUUUUAGAAGUUUCUCUCCUUGCAGCCACAAGCAAUGUCCGUUUCUUCUUCCAUAGGUCAGUUGCCUCAUAAUUCCUCAGGUAUGUCACACUCUGAAUGGGUCUUGGAUUCUGGUGCUUCCCAUCAUAUGUCUCCAGAUUCCUCAUCUUUUACCUCUGUGUCCCCUUUGUCCUCCAUUCCUGUUAUGACUGCUGAUGGCACUCCUAUGCCCUUAGCAGGUGUUGGUUCUAUUGUCACACCUCACUUGUCUCUCCCUAAUGUUUAUCUUAUUCUAAAACUCAAAUUGAAUCUUGUGUUUGUUGGUUAAAUAUGUGAUUCUGGUGAUUAUUUAGUCAUGUUUUCUGGUUCUUUUUGUUGUGUACAGGAUCUGCAGUCUCAUAAGCUGAUUGGGACAGGCCGUAAGGAGAUAUAUACAGCUUUUCGAGCUCUUAUCAAAACUCAACAUUUUACUGUGAUCAAAUGCUUUAGGUGUGAUUUAGGUGGGGAAUACACCUCUAAUAAAUUUUGCCAAUUGCUUGCCUUAGAUGGAACCAUCCACCAAACUUCAUGUACAGAUACUCCUGAGCAAAAUGGUGUUGCUGCAAGAAAACAUAGGCACAUUGUCGAAACUGCUCGUUCUCUCUUGUUGUCUGCUUUUGUUCCUAGUGAGUUUUGGGGAGAAACUGUUCUUACUGCUGUAAGUUUGAUUAAUACAAUUUCAUCUUCUCAUAGUUCGGGUCUAUCUCCUUUUGAAAAGUUAUAUGGGUAUGUCCCUGAUUAUUCCUCAUUUAGAGUCUUUGGUUGUACUUGUUUUGUUCUUCGUCCUCAUGUAGAACGCAGUAAGUUAUCCUCUCGAUCUGCUAUUUGUGUCUUUCUGGGUUAUGGUGAAGGUAAAAAGGGGUAUUGUUGUUUUGAUCCAAUAACUCAGAAACUUUAUGUGUCUCGUCAUGUUGUCUUCCUUGAGCAUAUACCUUUCUUUUCUAUUCCAUCCACUACUCAUAACCCAACUAAAUCUGAUAUUAUUCGUAUAAAUCCCUUUUCUGAGGAUUCUGGUAAUGAUACCUCUCCCCAUGUUCAAUCAAUUUCUACUCAUAACUCUGCAGGUACUGGUACUUUACUCUCUGGCACACCUGAAGCUCCAUUCUCAUCUACAGCCCCUCAAACUUCAUCUGAGAUUGUGGAUCCACCUCCACGUCAGUCCAUCCGCAUUCGUAAGUCCACAAAACUACCAGAUUUUGUUUAUUCUUGUUAUUCUUCAUCAUUUACUUCCUUUUUAGCUUCUAUUCAUUGUCUCUUUUAGCCCUCUUCCUAUAAAGAGGCAAUUCUUGAUCCGCUUUGGCAGCAAGCUAUGGAUGAGGAACUUUCUGCUUUGCAUAAGACAGAUACUUGGGAUCUAGUUUCUCUACCUCCUAGUAAGAGUGUUGUUGGUUGUCAUUGGGUGUAUAAGAUCAAGACUAAUUCUGAUGGGUCUAUUGAGCGAUACAAAGCUAGGCUGGUUGCAAAAGGAUACUCUCAACAGUAUGGUAUGGACUAUGAGGAGACAUUUUCCCUAGUUGCAAAAAUGACUAUUAUUCGUACUCUUAUUGUCGUAGCUUCGAUUCGUUAGUGGCAUAUUUCUCAGCUUGAUGUUAAAAAUGCCUUCUUCAAUAAAGAUCUUCAAGAAGAAUUUUAUAUGGCACCCCCUCCUGGUAUUUCACAUGAUUCUGGAUAUGUCUGUAAGCUUAAGAAAACAUUAUAUGGUCUCAAACAAGCAUCCCGUGCUUGGUUUGAGAAAUUCUCUAUUGUGAUCUCAUCUCUUGGCUUUGUUUAUAGCAGUCAUGAUUCUGCUCUUUUUAUUAAGUGCACUGAUGCAGGUCGUAUCAUUCUGUCUAUAUAUGUUGAUGACAUGAUUAUUACUGGUGAUGACAUUGAUGGUAUUUCAGUUUUGAAGACAGAGUUGGCUAGACGAUUUGAAAUGAAGGAUUUGGGUUAUCUUCGAUAUUUCCUGGGUAUUGAGGUAGCAUACUCACUUAGAGGUUACCUUUCUUCUCAGUCGAAAUAUGCUGCAGAUAUUCUUGAGCGAGCUAGACUUACUGAUAACAAGACUAUAGAUACUCUUAUUGAGGUUAACGCAAGGUACUCUUCUUCUAAUGGUUUACCUUUAAUAGAUCCUACUUUAUACCGUACCAUUGUUGGGAGUUUGGUAUAUCUCACCAUUACUCGUCUAGAUAUUGCAUAUGUUAUUCAUGUUGUUAGUCAGUUUGUUGCUUCUCCUACUAUUGUUCACUAGGCAGCUGUUCUUUGUAUUUUGAGAUAUCUUCGGGGUACAGUUUUUCAGAGUCUUUUACUUUCAUCUACCUCUUCCUUGGAGUUGCGUGCAUACUCUGAUACUGAUCAUGGUAGUGAUCCCACAGAUCGCAAGUCUGUUACCGGGUUCUGUAUCUUUUUAGGUGAUUCUCUUAUUUCUUGGAAAAGCAAGAAACAAUCUAUUGUUUCUCAAUCAUCCACCGAAGCAGAAUAUCGUGCCAUGGCAUCUACUACCAAAGAGAUUGUUUGGUUACGUUGGUUACUUGCUGAUAUGGGAGUUUCCUUUUCUCAUCCUACUCCUAUGUAUUGUGACAACCAAAGUUCUAUUUAGAUUGCUCACAACUCGGUUUUUCAUGAGCGAACUAAGCACAUUGAGAUCGAUUGUCAUCUUACUCGUCAUCAUCUCAAGCAUGGCACCAUUGCUUUGCCUUUUGUUCCUUCUUCCUUGCAGAUUGCAGAUUUCUUUACCAAGGCGCAUUCCAUCUCUCGUUUUCGUUUUCUGGUUGGCAAACUCUCGAUGCUUGUAGCUGCCGCAUCGUGAGUUUGAGGGGAGAUGUUAAAUAAUAUUUAUGUAGUCUUAUUUAUUAAGGGUAGAAUAGUACUUUCAGUUUAACCUAUAUAUACUUUAUUUGUAUUUAGGUUAAGUCUAAGCACUCAUAAUAUACAUAUUAUUCAGAAUUCUAGCCUCCUUUUUGUGUUUAAUCUUAAUUAUUUUAACAAUUAUUACACGUCUAACUAUCUAAUUCAUAUACUAAUAAUGUUAUUUUAAAAUAGAAAAAAUACCGAUAACAUUCUAGAUACACAAAUUUUUUUUUCUAAAUUUGUAAUGAUAUCGUAUUUGAUUAUCAUAUAAUAACAAAUAAAAAACAUCUUAACAAGCAUAUUAACUAAGCAAACUUAAUUAUAAUUAAGAUUUGCUCUCUAGAGGUCACUAAUUCAAGUCUCACAAACCUUAUAGUCAUUAUUGAAGGCUACAUGGUCGUUAACUUCAGGACCCAUAAGAUUAGUCGAGGUACACGCAAGCUGACCCAGACAGCCACGUUAAUAAAAAAAAAACAAAAUAAAAACUUAAUUUAGCUAUAGCUUAUAAUUUGAGAGAAGCAAGAGGACUCAUUUCUAUAGUUGGUUUCUCGACACAUAUAUACGCACUGGAAACUGUAAAUUUAAAAUUAAUAUAGGGUUGUUUAGUAUUUAUAAAAAGAUUACCUGGAAAUAAGAUAUUCUUUUCAGCUUUAAAAUCAUUAAUGAAAAAACAUAUCUUAUUAGAACAAAAUAAAAUUAGUUUAUGUGAAUUAAAAAAUAAACACUUAUAUGUUGAUAAAAUCCUAAAAAGAGUGUUUAAUAAAGGUACAUUUAUAAAAUAUGAUUUAGAAAGACCAUUUCGUUUUCAUUUUUCUAUGGACUGGCAAUGCUAUAUAUGUAAAGCAGGCAUCCAUUUCGUUGUCUCAAAUAGUUCAUGCUCAUCUGGAAAUCUCUAUUUUCAUGUUUGUCGGUAUCAAAGGGUCAAUAAAUACGUGGAGAAAAGGUUAUGGGAACAAAUGCUGAGGGGCCUCUGGGUUUUGGCAGCUUGUUUUGAAUUAAUGUCUCCUUCUAUCCGCUUCCAAGUAAAAAUAUUGAUGACAUUCCAACCACAUGGAGCAUAAGUUUCGAUUACUGUAAUGGAUAGAAAUGGAAUCUCGUGAGCGGCCUAUGGAUGGUGAGAAGAGAGCUGGAGGGAUAAUGUUAUGUUUAUAUUUACUUGUUGAGAGUGAAUAUGGUUGAAGAUAUUAUUUUCAUGGGUGCCCACGUACGAUAAAGAGAGAAAACUCGUCGUCGAUGAUAUCUUAGGCUUUAUUCAUACAAUAAUAAUAAUAAUAAUAAAAGAUAUCUUAGUUCUUUUCAGUUGAUAUAAGCUGAAAACAUGCAGGUUUAUUACUUGAUAUUUGAAGAAACGUCCAGUCGUAAUUCAGGUUUUUUUAUUUGAUAUUUUAAACUGAUUUGGGGAUCAUUUUUUAGUACAAAACUUAGUUUUCCAUAUACAAUGAGCUUUGGCAGAGUCUUUUGAUCUUUGGGCUCCCUAGCAACCAUUUGUAAAACGUGAGUGCGCACUUGUGAUGGGAAACGGAUAAGGAGUCAAUUUCGAGGAGUUGCUGUCGCAAUGCAUGACUAGACGUCCCAUGAUCAUAUCCUAGAUUUACUCUCUCUUUUUUUCGUUUCUUCUUUUCGCGGUUCUAAAAUGCUUCGGAGUCUUUGUCAGGGAUUAUUGCCUGAAUGAUCUCCGACAAUAUAUAUCCCUAAUUUCCUGACAGACAAAUUCAAGGGUGGCCGACAAAAAAAAAUAUAGCGAUUCCUGGGAUUUUUUUUAAAAAAUAUUAGCUUAGUGAAUUAAAUUUUUUUGGUAGGAUAUAACAGUUUGAAAAAGAAAUUAUGAAAUAAUAUAGUUUGAGUUUGUUGUGAUUCAUAAUUAUAUUACCUUAAAUUUAACUUGAAUCUUUCGUUUUUUCCCUUCACAGCCAACACCUUUCUUCUCUUAGAAAAACCACCAAAAACUUCUCUAAUUCACCUUAAAAUUAUUGAGUUUUCUAAAAUAUAAAUACGCGUCAAAAAAUAUAAACAUAAAGAUGUUUAUGUUAAAAGAAAUAAAUUUAAACAUAUUCCAACAAAUAAACUAAGAAAGAGUAUACUAAAAUUAAAGUUAGUUGAUUUGCUAAUGCUAAUUAAAUGCAAAAAUCAAAACUAAUCUUUUACAAGCAAGUAUGCAAAUAUUUAAACAGCAGAUGUUUAAUUCUGCGUAGUGAAAUAAAAACUUGUUACCGAUACUUUUAUCUAUCGAACAUGUCAGUGUAUUUUAAUACCAAUUAACACAAUGUGUAUAGCAUUGUUAUAAUUUCUUAAUUCCUGAAGUUUUAUAUCCUUUAACUAUAGAAAAACAAAUUGAGAUUCUUAAGCCUUAAGGUUAGAAUCCUUAACUAUAAAGAAAACUUUAAAAAUCUUGGAAGGUUUUUGAAAAGUCUUUAUUUCAUCAAUUCAUUUCUAAAAAAAUAGCCUACAAGAUUGUUUAAAUACAAGAAAAAUAUUCUAAUUAAUACAAUUCUAAUUAAAUUGAAUGUUCUAAUCUAAAUAGAAAAAAAAACAAUAAAAAGAAUAAAUAAAAUUAUGAAACAAUAGCUUCUAGGUCUAAUUUGAGCAUAAAAACAAAAAUAACUAGCAAGUUAGCUGCUAUAUCAAAAUAAUGUAAGUUUUAUUGGACUAAGUGUUGAACUCUUUUAAAACUCAUCAAAACCUAAAAAAAACCUUGACAAUCAAGAAAGCAAUACCAUAAAAAAUAAUAAUAUAGAAAAUAAUGAAAAUAUAGUGACCCAUGUCACAAAAAAUAGCUCUUCUACCUUGAAAACCCUUCUUUCCUUUUGUCAAGUGAUUAGCUCCAAUUUAUCAAGAUUAAUUAAUUAAAUGAGUCUUCAAAGAAAACUCCAUAUGAGUAAGGAAAAAUAUUCAUUAUCUCUUAGACCCAUAAAAUAUGAAAAACUAGAUAAAUUAGAUAUUACAAAACAAAAAAUUAGAUAAAAAAUACUCGGCCUUUUGUCCUUGAUAAUCUUUAUAAAGAAAGAGCACUAUAAGCACAUAUUCUCUCAUGUAAACACACACACACACACACACACACAAAUUGCUUUCGGAAUGAUGCACUUUAUAUAUAGAGAGAUAUAUAUAUAUAUAUAUAUAUAUAUAUAUAUAUAUAUAUAUAUAUAUAGAGAGAGAGAGAGAGAGAGAGAGAGAGAGAGAGAGAUGUUGCUUAGAAGUGAUUUUCACUAGAAUCCCACAUAAUUUUUCUUGAGCAUAGAGAUUCGCACAUCUAAUUUUUCACUAGCUUAUAAGAGGAUGCACGAUGUUGGCUUAUCCAAACCCCAAAGAGUGAUGCGAGGCUAUCUAUAAAUUGUUAAUUUCGAAGACAGGCUAGGUGUUCUCUAAUUUAGUAAAGACCAGCUCUAGCUCUUAAUUCCAGAAACAUAGAUUUGGGAUUAUUAAAAAACAACAUAAAAAAAAAUGCCACUUCUAAAGAUGACAACUAAUGAAAAAACUAAAAAAUGUCUAAAACCCUGUUUUGUUAAUAUUUCUUUCUUCAAUGAAUUAAUAGAUUGUUUCAACUUCAAUCUUAUAUGUGACAUAUUUUUUCUUUCAAAAACAAUUUCAUAUAUAACACAAUAAUCUUACAUGACCAACAUUAUUGACUUUUACUCAUAUUUAUUAAAUAAAUGGCCAAAUUGAUAUAUGUGCACCAUAAAUAUCUCUAAAAAAUGAUUUUAUUUUAUAUGGUUUGAGGUCCCUUCAACUUUUGCUACACAAGUCUUUAUUAGCUUAUUUUCAAACUAAAACGAAAAGAUAUUGAUUUUAUUAGAUGAUUUUCUUUGACCUUAUUUAAUUUACUUCUUUAAUAUAUAAAAAAUAGCAAAAUUACAUCUCUCUCUCUCUUUUAAAAAAGUUGUUAUCCUAUGUGAUUUUAUGUACGCUUUAUGUGUUUUUUUUCCAAAGAUUAGACUAAUGAUCAUAAAAGUUUAAUCUAUAUGCAUGAAAUUUAUAUAAUCAAGGUAAACUUGCAAUUAAAAUAAAAUGCUAGCAUGCAUACUAAAUAUAUAAUGAAACUUGCAUAAGAUAUUAAAAUAAAAUCCUAGUAUGCAUAGUAAAUAUAUAUUGAAUUUUGUAUUUAAACAAAAUAUAUAUAUAUACACUUGUUGAAGCAAUUAGAAAUUGAUUAAGCUAAAUAUUUUGUUAUCAAUAAUCAAUUAUUUGUUCUCGAGGAUGUAUUUCUCAUUUCUUAGUGCAAAUGGACUAAUCUCAAUAAGUUUUUUAGGAUUUCAAUAAAUCUUGUUUAGUUUCAUUUCUUAACAAAAUCCAUGAACUUAAAGAAAUUUUACUGAAAUAUCUCUUUAUAAAGACAAAACUUAAGUUUUAAAAUUAGGUGGAAAAUUAAAACAAAUUUGAGCUUAAAACAAAAGACAAUAAGAUGGAAAAAAAAGGUGAAAAAGAGUCUACAAAAUCUAUAAAAAGUUUGUCCAUAAAUACUCUUUUUUUAUUUUCUUUUUAUAGAAGACUUUGGAACCAAAAUUGAUAAAGAAUUAGUUUUGUUAAUUACCAGAAUUAAUUUUCAUCAUUAUCAGACUUAAUCACUUGCCAUAAACUAGAAUUAAACCUGAAUUGUUUUUGCUUUAAAAUAAAUAUUUGGUUUGAAUAAAAAUUAUUUAGGAGGAAGAAACUGUUUAGUUCAAAGAAAUUGUUCAUAGGCUAGAAAAACGAAUGGGUUGGCAAAAAAUAAUUGUUUAUAAGCCAAAUAAAUACAAACUCAAACCUAAGCAAAAAAUAGAUUGGCAAAAAAUAAUUCUUUGAAGUAAAAAAAAGAUUCUACAUAAACCCAAACGUAAGCCUAGCCUGAGGCUCGAGUGCAAGCCGAUUCGAGAGAGCAUGCUUGUGUGACUUAAGCUCAAAACCCACUUUGCUUAGCUCCUCUUUUCUAAAGCUCCUAUUUUCUAAAAGAUUUUAUGCCAUUUAGAACUAAUUUUAACUCUUCAUCUUCCUACUAUAUAAAUUACAAGAAAAUCUUGCUUCUUUUCUAUGUUUGAUAAAGGGUUUUAGGUUCCCCAAAACAUGCAAAUAAAAGGGCUCUUUGAGAUUAAUUUUUAGUCACCCACUAUUUAUUUUAAUAAUGUUUAUAUAAUAUGUUAAAGAGCUUUUGUUGGAUAAUAAACUUCAAUAAAGUCUUAACUCUAAAAGUUAGUAGACUUCGUUUUUAAUUUGGCCUCAAAUGUGCCAAUUAACCAUGGUUUCAAAAAUAUUUUUCAACAAUUCUCCACAUGAAUAGAAAUUAUCCGACAAAUAUAAAAGAAUCAAAGAUUCAUAAGAGAUACUAAUUUUUGGGAUCAUUAGAUAUGAUAGGUAGAUUUUGGCUAUGAAUCUUUCUUAGUAAACUACUAUCUAAUAUAGUUGUUUAAAUAGUGAACACAAUGUCUUGAAUUAUUCAACUUUUAUAUAAAUCAAGACAAUAAUAUUCACAUAGUUCUCUACCUAGUACAUUGGGAAUUGAUAAAUUGUUCAUGUUCAAGUGUUCACCAUCCACUUAUUUGUAAGUAAAAAACAUUAUAUUCUUGGUGCAUAAAUGUUUUGUUACACAAAUAUAAACCCAUCACCACUUGAAAUUGUUGAUUUGGUUGACAUCGAAAGCAAAAAAAAAAAAAAAUCAUUUUCAAAACUUCAUUAGUGAGGUGAUCAACAUCGAUGAUAUUGGCUUGGGGAGUCCUUCCCUUUUUUAGGGUUUCCUUGUUGAGCUUUAUUUUUGCAAUCCUUAGCCAAAUAUCCAGUCUUGUUGUAGAUGAAGCAUUUACCAUUGAACUUCUUGGCAAUUUAUUUUCUCUUUACAACAAGAUUUUUCUUUUGAUUUUUUUUUGGGACUUUACCACUUGUUCUACAAUGUUUGCUUUAGGGGUCAUACCAUAAGAGUUGACUUAUCUUUUGGGCCACAUAUUUUCCUCUUCUAUCCUUAACAUCAAGAUAAAGUCUUCAACUCUUAUUUUCUUGAGCUUGUACUUAAUGUUAUUCUUGAAGUCUUUCUAAUAUUUGACAACUUUUUAAUAAUUACAACUACUUGGAAAGACUCAUUUACAACCAUACCUUCAAAAGGAAUAUCAUGGAAGAUGAUUUGAAACUUUUGAACUUUGUUUAUAAUGGUCAUUUAAUAAACUAUCUUAAAAUUCAAAAGAUUUUUUGACUAUGAAUAUUUCCAUAACAACAUCACAAACCUUAUACUUUUUAUCCAAACCUUUCCAUAAUACUUUAAAUAUACACAUUAUAUAAUGCAUUAUCCAGUCCAUUCAAUAUAUAAUUUUUGCAUACAAAAUGGUUAUGAUUCCAAGCAUCAACAUUUACCACAAUAGUAGGAUCAUAUUCAUUAUCUAAUAGCUUUGAUGUUUAUUUAGUCAAGAACUUUGCUAAAUUCAAGAUGGUCAGAUAGAACAUCAUCUUUUGCUACCACCUUUUGAACUUUUCAUAUUUCUCACCAUGCAAGACGUUGAUUGUAGAAUCCUCCUUAUUAAAAUAGUGCUUGCCAAAGCAACAUUAAUUGAGACGACCACAUCUUGAUAUAAAGUUAUGAUUAUUUUCUAUUUGGACAAUAGCAAAAAAAAAAUAUAAAUAAAAAAUUUGGCUUCUCAAAAGCAGGUAUGAAAAAAAUAAAAAAAAAAUUGUUUGACAACUAUAAAAUGCUAAACAAAUUAACAAACAAAAGAUUUAUAACUAUGCAAAAUUAUAUUAAUCACGUUUUUAAUAGUUAUAAUUCAAUAUUGUGGCCUUUUGACAUGCAUGAACUUAUACCAAACUAGAUAAAAGUUUAAUUUAUAACUUAAAUAAAUGUUUUUAACAAGCUCUUGAAAAAUAAAUUGGUUUGCAUAUAAGUAAAAGUAUAAACUAUAAGAGAAUAAAACUUUAAUAUUGUUUUUCAAAUAUUAGACUAGUGAUCAUAAAAGUUUAGUUUAUAUGCAUGCAAUUUUUUCAAGGUAAACUUGAGAUUAAAAUAAAAUUCUACCAUGAAUUCUAAAUAUUUAUUGAAACUUGUAUAAGAGAUUGAAACAAAAUUGUAGCGUCAGGACCAUGAAUAUAUUGAAUUUUAUACUUCAACAAAAAAAAAAAACAAUGUAGGCACUUCCUGAAACUAUUAGAAAUUAAUUAAGUUGAGUAUUUUGUUGUCGAGAAUCAAUCAUUUAUUUCAAGGUUUUAUUUCUCCUCUCUUGGUGUAAAUGAACUGACUUUAAAAAGCUUCAUAGAGUUUCAACAAUACCGUUUUAUUUAGUUGUACUUCUAAAUUAGAUCCACGAACUCAAUAAAAUUUUACUCAAAUAUCUCUUUACAAAAACUAAGCUUAAGUCUAGAGUAGGAGAAACAUUAAGAAAAAAAACUAGCUUAAAACAUAAGAGAAUAAGCUUGAAAAAACUAAGGUGAAGAAAGUUUAAAAGUCUGUCAAAAAACUAUCUAGAAACCCUAUUUCUUAAAACCCUUUUUAUAAAGGAUUUUGGAACAAAAAAUGAAAAACAUUAAUUUCAGUAAUUACCAUAAUCAAUUCCUUUCGUUAUCAGCCUUAAUUACACGUUAUAAACUAGAAUUAAAUAUGAAAAUUUUGGCUUUAAAUCUAACAUUUUAUUUGAAUAAAAAUUGCUUAUGUUGAAGAAAUUGUUCAGAAUUUUUAUUCAUGAAUUAGAAAAACUAAUGGCUGAAAAAAACAAAAUCUUUAUAAGCCAUAAAAUUAUAAACCCAAACUCAGUCCAAAAAAUAAACUUGCAAAAUAUAAUUAUUUAUGAUUCAAAAAAUUAUUUUACAGUAUAUACAAACCCAAGUCAAGUCUAGCUCUGGCCUUAGCGCACACUUGUAGUUUAAAUUCAAAGAUCACUUUACUUAAACUCUCUUUUCUCUACAAAAUUUGGUGCUCUUGGGGUUUAAUUUUAAUUUUUCAUCUUUUUACUAUAUAAACUAAAAGAAAAUCUUUUGUUUUUUUUUUUAUAUGGGAUAAAAGGUUUUAGGUUUUUCAAACAUGUCAAAUAAGAAUUUUUUAAAAACAAUUUCUUAUUCACUCAUAAUUUGUUUGAACCAUAUUAAUAUUUCAUUGUAAAGAGCUUUUAUUGAAAAAUAAAUUUCGAUAAAAUUUUAUGCUAUUUACAGCAAGCUAAGUUUUCGUUUUCGUUUUAUGCUUUUUAAUUUAAUGGAUCUGAUAAAUAACAAAAGAAUACUUUUCCAUUCACAGAAAUAUGUUAUAUGAUAAAUCCUAUUUUUGUUCAAAACUAGAGUUAUUAUGAUACUUUUGGAUCGAUUUAGAAAUUGUUCUUGACAUUUAUAAAAUGAGCUUUGGUAUAAAGGUAAAGUUUUUCAUCUACCAUAAAUAAAAUGUGAUCAAAUUAGGAAUUUGAUUUUAUUUUUUACGAUUAGUAUAAUUAUAUGAAAUGUUCCUGGCCAUCAAUUAACAAUCUAAGGGUUAGGAUUUAACUAAAAUGAAAUAUUAUGUUAGCAUUUACUUGAGGGGAAUUUAAUCCUAUUUAAUAUUGGAUUUAAGAUAGACAUAUAUAUAUAUAUAUAUUUAAGAUAGACAUAUAUAUAUAUAUAUAUAGUAAUAAAUAAAGUAAUAAAUAAUCCAUUAGUUUCAAAUGAUUAUUUAAAAAAAAAUUAUAAAGUACAUAUUAUAAAAGCACUAUUUUUUUUUAAAAAAAAAAACUUAUUGUAUUGGCAAUUAUGAGAAUAUUAACUAGUUGUAGCAAUUUUUUUUUUUAAAUCCGGAUUAAUUUACAUGUAUCUUAAUUAAUUUUAUAAAUUUUAAAAUUAUAUGUAUAAAUCUUCAGUAAUCGAGAACAUUAACUAGUUGCAGAAACUUCCAUUUAAAAUUUGACUUGGAUGAAUUUAUCUCUCUUUUUUUCCUCUUUACCAACCCUUCCUCGCUAUUGGUUUUCACCAGCGGCAAACCCUUUUUUCCCUCACCUUCUUCUUCUCUCUCUCUUUGACAACCCUUGAUCAAAUACUUUUUUAUUAGAUAUGAUGGUCUUUUAGUCUAAGAUAAAUUAAAUACUUUCAAAUAUAAAUCAUAAUAAAAAUUAAUAAAAUAUAUACUUCUUGUCUUAAUUUAUUAAUUGUUCAGUAAAUUAUCAAAAAGAAAACGUCUUCUAGUCUAUGUUAAUAUUUUUAAAUUAGGCUAGAGACCCUCUUCUUAAUUUUAAUUUUGCAUUAUCAUUCAUCUUAAAUAUACUUAUAUAUUCUAAAACUAUAAUUUAUCACUUAUAGAUUUUAUUUAAAAAUAAUAUAUAAUGCUAAAUAGUAUUAAUUUAGAACAUGGCAUGGCUUAUAUGAGGCAAUUUAAAGGAUAUUUCUUACUUUUAGCUUAAAUAAUGAUAGAUCUAUUUUUUUUUAUUAACGUAGAUAUCCAGGUUAGUUUGUGCGUACUUCAACUAAUUUCAUGGGUCCUGAAAUUAACAAUCAUGUACGUCUCCAGUAGCCAUAAAUUUUGUAAGACUCGAAUUGAUGAUUUUUAAAAUACAAACAUAGAACCUAACUAGUUGAACUACACCCCUCAUGAUUUGAAUCUAAUUUUUUUUUUUGUUUAAGUGUUGUGCUGUCUUUUUUUAUUUUGUUUUUUAUGUUUUUUUUUAAAUUUUAUUUCGAGAAAUUAUGGAAAAUGUGUGUAUGACUGUUCAUAUCCAAAUACUUCGUAGAUGUACCAACGAUGCAAAAUUAUUUUGGGCCCAGUCACGGUUUUGUUUUUUUCUUAAUUAAUUGUGAUGACAAGUUAUUUUUGAGCUCUCAGGAUAUGAAAAAAUCUCCAAAAGGUUAAAGCUCAAAAAGAAACUAUUUUUUACUGCAGUUUUCAAAAAAAAUUUCUUUCGACCACGGCCCUUUUUUCUCUUUUAUUAUAAGCCAAACAAGCAAGAGAAAAUAAAACUUCAAACUUGUAUAAAUUUAUAAUUAUUUUAUACUAAAUCUUUAAUUUAAUUAAAGAAUAAGAUUUUAAUGUCAUAUUAAAUUUAAUAAUUGAAUUUGUGUUUCAUAAACAAAAUUAAGUUUUGGUGAGCAGUUUUUAAAUUUUUUAUUGUUUUUUAUUUUUAUUAAAUAUGAAAAAUGUUCAUUAACACUACUCAUUCUUACUUUCAAUCCGUUUGUGAUAUUGUAAACUAAUUUGGGUUCUAGGAUCUUUUAAUAAAUUCUUUUCUACUCGAACUAAUUUAACUAAAAAAUUGCAUUAAUCUUCUUGAAAUUAACAUCUUGAAAUUUAGCAACUUUUUUUCAAAAAAAUUUUAAUAGAGUACAACAACAUAUACUAAUAAUUUAUCAAAAAAAAAAAAUUUAAUUUAUCAACUCCAAAGAAUAAAGCUUAAUUGGUCAGAUUUUAGUUUUGCUCCGUAGAAGUCACCAGUUCAAGUCCUACAAAUCUCAGGGCUACUGGAGAUUUAUAUGAUCAUUAACUUUAGAAUUCGUGAGAUUAAUCAAGAUACAAGCAAGCUCGUCCAGAUAUCCACAUUAAUAAUAUUAAAAAAUUAUAUAUAUAAAAAAGGCUACGAGAGAGGCAUCGAGAUAUUAAACGUCAAUUAUAACAAUACAGGGCCUUUAUGUAAUUGCGUUAAAAAAGAAGCUAUGGUCGAUUUCUAUAUAAAGGCACAUGAGGAGCACCCAAAUACCAUCAUUCCACAAAGCAGUUGCAUUUAUCUAAAGUAUUGUCACUUUACUUAACACUUGAGCUGCAUAGAAUGUCUACAGUCAAUUUGGCAGCACUGCUGUUGCUUGGGCUGCUGCUGGUUAUGCCACAGCAGUCCAUGCAAGCGAGUUUGAUAGACCCCAUUGCUGAAAUCGAGAGAAGCAACUGCAAAAUCGCACACCUUCGCUUAGGGCUUGUUUUUACCUCUGAUGUCAACGAAAGGGCUCUGCAAGACUCUGGACUCUAUAGCCCUGACAGUGAAGACUCUUCUGUUGACAUUGCGGGCAGAAGGUUCCAUAGCGGGACACUAAACGGUUCUUCUAUUGUAUAUGUCAAGACAGGGAGUCCUUCAGUAAGACUAACUCUACCUUUGUUUAUUUUUAACGAAAGAAACUUGCAUCUUUCGUGUUUUAAAUAUUUUUUUAUGACAGGUAAAUAUGGCAACAACUUUGCAAAUCCUUUUAGCUAGAUUCAGCAUUCACGGAGUCAUCUAUUUUGGGAAUGCUGGAAGCUUGGAUAAGAAAACAAUGGUUCCAGGUGAUGUUUCUGUGCCGCAGGCUGUUGCCUUCACAGGAGUUUGGAACUGGAAGGUGCGUAGGGCCUUUGCUAUUAUUUAUGGUUUUCAUUUUCUAUUUUUGUUUUAAAAGUUGAUUUUUUUAAUUUUUUUUAAAGACGUACAUCAUAUCUGACAUAGUGACAGUGAUGUAGUAUAAUAUAUAGCUAAUAAGAAAUAACAAUGAUAGAUUAUAAUCUUGACAAAUAACAAGAAUAAUCUAUAAAAAUAAAAAAAGUUAUUACAUUGUAUAUCCGCAGUGGUGCUGGGACUAAUUACUACUACGUAAUCAACUCUAUAUCAUGCAGAAAUUCGGAUCGGAGAAAGGUAAACUGGUAUUUGGAGAUUUCAAUUAUCCAGAGAAUGGAGAGAACUUGUUGGGGACUGUAGAGUAUGAGAAAAUUAACAUGUUCUCUCCAAGUGAAGCACCCAAGGAAGUUUUCUGGCUUCCCAUCACCACAUCCUGGUAUGAUGCUGCCACUAAAGCGCUCAAGGUUUGUCAAUCUCAGAAUAUUCAGCUGAAUUAGCUGCAUGUUUCUUCUUCAUUACCAUUAAAACUAUCGCUAAGCCUAUAAUGAUUUUAUUGAGACCAUGAAUAUUGAGGGAUAUAUGUAUCUUUGAAUUUUCAAGUGGAUUAACUACAAUAAUAAUUGAUUAUUCAUUGCAGGAUAUGAAGUUAAGAAAAUGCUAUUCAGAUAAAUGCCUGCCCGGAAAACCCAAAGUUGUCUUUGGAUCGAAGAGUUCUACUUCUGAUUUUUACGUUCGAAAUAAAGCAUACGGAGACUUCCUUAACGAUAAUUUUGAUGCAAAAAUUGCCGAUACAGCAAGUGCUUCUGUAGCUUUGGUUAGUAAAAAAACCUUCUAUGAGCUCAAAAGUUUGUGUUUCUUCUUCUUGAGAUGCCUUUUAGCUAGGAAGCUACGCAUGAUUAAUUUGGUUAACGAAUUUGUUUGUGUCCCAAUUUGCAGACAUCUCUGUCAAAUGAAAAGCUCUUCGUGGUGUUCCAAGGUGUUUCAAAUGUAGCUGGUGAAACAAGUUCAGACUCUGGAGUUAGCUAUUUAGCCUCCUACAACGCCUUCCUUGCUGCCACCAAGUUCAUUAAUUCAAUUCCGACGCCACGACUUGCUUGUGAGUGAUGAGAUGAUAUGAAUGUCCUCGAUCGUGAGUCUUGUGAGUCUUUUGAGUUGUAUGAUAAAAAAGGAUGCCCUACUGUACUAAAAUAAAUUAUGUCAUAAAUGGCCUCCUAAUUUAAAUAAACUGGGUGUAUAUCAUCCACAUGUACGUUCCUUUUUUGAUGAAAUAUAUGGGCGUACUUAUGCUUGCGG
This 27690-nucleotide long non-coding RNA is filed under the name Populus trichocarpa (black cottonwood). RNAcentral describes it as "long non-coding RNA (PTRI_LNC003110)". Lineage: Eukaryota; Viridiplantae; Streptophyta; Magnoliopsida; Malpighiales; Salicaceae. The record is from RNAcentral.